Molecule: long non-coding RNA, 208 nt
Filed under: Capsicum annuum
Lineage: Eukaryota; Viridiplantae; Streptophyta; Magnoliopsida; Solanales; Solanaceae
Description: long non-coding RNA (CANN_LNC006704)
Source: RNAcentral
GAGAGUUAGGAGCUUCAAGAAAGUUGUAGGAUCAACUUUUUGUGGUGAUACAACAAUCCCUGUUGCACAAAGAAUCAAGAGUCAACUACCUCCUAGAAGAAGAGAAAAUAUUGGACAGAAGAGAGGAAGAGUUGUAAGUACAGAAGAUGUUGGAGAAGGUGGAUCAAAAAGGUCUAAGAAUGCUGGAUUUGGGAUCUACACAAGUGCA